AACGAACGCUGGCGGCGUGCCUAACACAUGCAAGUCGUGCGAGAAAGUUUCCUUCGGGGAGCGAGUAAAGCGGCGCACGGGUGAGUAACACGUAGGUAACCUACCUUUCAGUCCGGAAUAACCAGCUGAAAAGCUGGCUAAUGCCGGGUAAGACCACGAUCUCUGCGGGGAUCGCGGCCAAAGGCGGCCUCUUCAUGAAAGCUGAUGCUGAGAGAUGGGCCUGCGACCAUUAGCUAGUUGGUGAGGUAACGGCUCACCAAGGCUUUGAUGGUUAGCUGGUCUGAGAGGAUGACCAGCCACACUGGGACUGAGACACGGCCCAGACUCCUACGGGAGGCAGCAGUGGGGAAUAUUGCGCAAUGGGGAAACCCUGACGCAGCGACGCCGCGUGGGU
Molecule: ribosomal RNA, 394 nt
Filed under: uncultured bacterium
Lineage: Bacteria
Description: bacterial SSU rRNA
Rfam family: Bacterial small subunit ribosomal RNA
Source: RNAcentral